Molecule: ribosomal RNA, 305 nt
Filed under: uncultured bacterium
Lineage: Bacteria
Description: bacterial SSU rRNA
Rfam family: Bacterial small subunit ribosomal RNA
Source: RNAcentral
UGCCUACGGGACGCAGCAGUGGGGAAUAUUGGGCAAUGGGCGCAAGCCUGACCCAGCAACACCGCGUGAAGGAAGAAGGCUUUCGGGUUGUAAACUUCUUUUAAGAGGGACGAAGGAAGUGACGGUACCUCUUGAAUAAGCCACGGCUAACUACGUGCCAGCAGCCGCGGUAAUACGUAGGGGGCAAGCGUUAUCCGGAUUUAUUGGGUGUAAAGGGAGCGUAGACGGCCAGACAAGUCUGAAGUGAAAAUCCAGCGCUUAACGUUGGAAGUGCUUUGGAAACUGCCGGGCUAGAGCGCAGGAGG